GAUGCUGUAGACUAAUUGGUUAGGUCAGCUUUAUGGAGUAGAUGAGAUCCGGGUUCAAAUCCCGCCGGCACCC
Acanthoscelides obtectus is the source of this 73-nucleotide non-coding RNA. The record is from the annotation of a GenBank genome assembly. NCBI's taxonomy places the organism in Eukaryota, Metazoa, Arthropoda, Insecta, Coleoptera, Chrysomelidae.